Molecule: ribosomal RNA, 468 nt
Filed under: uncultured bacterium
Lineage: Bacteria
Description: partial 16S ribosomal RNA
Rfam family: Bacterial small subunit ribosomal RNA
Source: RNAcentral
GACGAACGCUGGCGGCGUGCUUAACACAUGCCAGUCGAACGGAAAGGCCCUGCUUUUGUGGGGUGCUCGAGUGGCGAACGGGUGAGUAACACGUGAGUAACCUGCCCUUGACUUUGGGAUAACUUCAGGAAACUGGGGCUAAUACCGGAUAGGAGCUCCUGCUGCAUGGUGGGGGUUGGAAAGUUUCGGCGGUUGGGGAUGGACUCGCGGCUUAUCAGCUUGUUUGUGGGGUAGUGGCUUACCAAGGCUUUGACGGGUAGCUGGCCUGAGAGGGUGACCGGCCACAUUGGGACUGAGAUACGGCCCAGACUCCUACGGGAGGCAGCAGUGGGGAAUAUUGCACAAUGGGCGGAAGCCUGAUGCAGCAACGCCGCGUGCGGGAUGACGGCCUUCGGGUUGUAAACCGCUUUCGCCUGUGACGAAGCGUGAGUGACGGUAAUGGGUAAAGAAGCACCGGCUAACUAUGUG